Cygnus olor (mute swan) is the source of this 844-nucleotide long non-coding RNA. RefSeq lists it as uncharacterized. Lineage: Eukaryota; Metazoa; Chordata; Aves; Anseriformes; Anatidae. The record is from RefSeq and is a predicted model, not a curated record. The transcript has 3 exons.
CCUGCUAUGUUCCUUUGCAAGGGUGCAGCUUGGCAGCAGAGGAGGCCACGGGCUCACCUUGUCCUUGCUGGAAGGACAUGAGGCUCCAGGAGCACUGAGCCUUUCCCAGGCAAUCGUGCAGAGGAUUGUGUGUGAUGGGUGUAGUGGUGCGAGGAAACGACCAAGUGAGGAGUGAACCCUCUGGAGCAGCAAAGCUUGCCAGCCCAUGGGAGAGAGAAGAAAGCAGGUACACAGCCAGGUGCCUCAGAGGGGAAAGGAGACGGACACGGGAACCUGGCUGGGGCAGCACCCAAUCUGCCCCAAGCCAGCCAGCCCCUGAGCUGGUGAACUGGAACCAGCCUGGGAGAAAGGACAUGACCACAGAGUCAGGCUUCUUAUGCCUGUUCACACUACAUGUGAGGGAAAGCACAUGCUGAUCUCCAACAGCAGCAUCUUCAGAACAAAAUCUAUAUGGUGAUGAUAUGAAUAAAAAUAAAUAAAUAAAUAAAAUCAAAGUCUACAGUUAAACUUAAAAAGUAGCACUUCGGAAUCCUAAAAAGGAAGGCUUAACAUGGUUAAAAUUAUAGCAUUUUGAUGUUGCUCAGAUGGUGAUGACUGUGCUGUUCUGCAUCAUACCUGGUUGCAGUUGUUUUUGUUCAGGAGUGAAUCCACAGAGAGCUCCAGAAGUGGCUCCUUCUGCAGAUGCACAGAGCCUCAGCUCUGUUGAAGACCAGAGGGAUCUGCAUUUAUACCUUAGCUGACAGCGUGUUUCCUGAGCUUAUUUUUACUCUCCUGAAUAACCAUGGAUUAAAGAGAAAACUUUGUCACUUCAGUAUCACUCUUCUUGGAUCAUUUAUUAACAUGC